UACGUAGGCAGCAAGCGUUGUUCGGAGAUACUGGGCGUAAAGGGUGUGUAGGCGGUUGUUUAAGUUUGGUGUGAAAUCUCCCGGCUCAACUGGGAGGGUGCGCCGAAUACUGAAUGACUCGAGUGCGGGAGAGGAAAGUGGAAUUCCUGGUGUAGCGGUGAAAUGCGUAGAUAUCAGGAGGAACACCGGUGGUGUAGACGGCUUUCUGGACCGUAACUGACGCUGAGACACGAAAGCGUGGGUAGCAAACAGG
Molecule: ribosomal RNA, 253 nt
Filed under: uncultured bacterium
Lineage: Bacteria
Description: partial 16S ribosomal RNA
Rfam family: Bacterial small subunit ribosomal RNA
Source: RNAcentral